Molecule: ribosomal RNA, 253 nt
Filed under: uncultured bacterium
Lineage: Bacteria
Description: partial 16S ribosomal RNA
Rfam family: Bacterial small subunit ribosomal RNA
Source: RNAcentral
UACGUAGGGUGCAAGCGUUGUCCGGAAUUAUUGGGCGUAAAAAGCUCGUAGGCGGUCUGUCGCGUCUGCUGUGAAAACUCAGGGCUUAACCCUGAGCUUGCAGUGGGUACGGGCAGACUAGAGUGCGGUAGGGGAGACUGGAAUUCCUGGUGUAGCGGUGAAAUGCGCAGAUAUCAGGAGGAACACCGGUGGCGAAGGCGGGUCUCUGGGCCGUAACUGACGCUGAGGAGUGAAAGCAUGGGGAGCGAACAGG